Molecule: ribosomal RNA, 468 nt
Filed under: uncultured bacterium
Lineage: Bacteria
Description: partial 16S ribosomal RNA
Rfam family: Bacterial small subunit ribosomal RNA
Source: RNAcentral
GACGAACGCUGGCGGCGUGCUUAACACAUGCAAGUCGAACGGAGAGGCCCUGCUUUUGUGGUGUGCUCGAGUGGCGAAAGGGGGAGUAACACGUGAGUAACCUGCCCUUGACUUUGGCAUAACUUCAGGAAACUGGGGCUAAUACCGGAUAGGAGCUCCUGCUGCAUGGUGGGGGUUGGAAAGUUUCGGCGUUUGGGGAUGGACUCGCGGCUUUGCGGCUUGUUGGUGGGGUAGUGGCUUACCAGGGCUUUGACGGGUAGCCGGCCUGAGAGGGUGACCGGCCACAUUGGGCCUGAGAUACGGCCCAGACUCCUACGGGAGGCAGCAGUGGGGAACAUUGCACACUGGGCGGAAGCCGGAUGCAGCAACGCCGCGUGCGAGAUGACGGCCUUAGGGUUGUAACCCGCUUUCGCCUGUGACGAAGCGUGAGUGACGGUAAUGGGUAAAGAAGCACCGGCUAACUACGUG